GGCAUAAGCCAGCUUGACUGCGAGCGUGACGGCGCGAGCAGGUGCGAAAGCAGGUCAUAGUGAUCCGGUGGUUCUGAAUGGAAGGGCCAUCGCUCAACGGAUAAAAGGUACUCCGGGGAUAACAGGCAAAACGGUGCUGUUCGUUGCAGAUAACCACCGGGCUUUCGCACUCCACGCCGUUC
This 182-nucleotide ribosomal RNA is filed under the name Salmonella enterica subsp. enterica serovar Cerro. RNAcentral's name for it is "partial 23S ribosomal RNA". It matches the Rfam family "Bacterial large subunit ribosomal RNA", at positions 2356 to 2537 of the family's 2925-position model. The record is from RNAcentral. Lineage: Bacteria; Pseudomonadati; Pseudomonadota; Gammaproteobacteria; Enterobacterales; Enterobacteriaceae.